AAAGUUAAUGGUUUGAAUAUUGGAUUUGGAUAUUCUGAUUCAUGUGUUGGAAAUAAGGCAAUUAGUUUAAGUGGUUAAGGAAAUAGGUUGGUAAUUAUUAAAUGAUUAAGCGAAAAUGGAAGAACAAAGGUUAUAGCUUUUAAGAACCUAAAUGAAGACUAGUUCGUAUCGCUUCGAUACAAAAUAAUUAACAAAGAAGAGACAAAUGAGAUUGGAUUGAACGAUCAAUCAAGAUAGCCAGAAACUAGAACGAUUAUUUAAAUAGAAAAACUAAAAUUCUUCUAAAUUAAUUUCUAACUUCGUUUCAUAUAUAUAAUUUUAUGCUAAUCUAAUUAAUAAUUGUAAAAUUAUAAAAAAAGUCAAGCUGUUAACGAGUUUUCAAAAAAGAUACAUCUCCUACUGUAAUUAUAAAAUCAUAAAAAAAUCAAGCUGUCGACGAAUCCCUAAAAAAGAUACGCCAGUUUAACACACUGAGGAAGAAUGCUUCUCAGUGGGGACAACCGAAUGGGGAAUGCAAUGUUAGAAGAGAGAGAAGGGGAGGGAGGGAAGCACAGGCCUGCGAUUGUAAUACACGUGGCACAACAGUAGUUAUCGAGAGAGACAGAUGCGAAAUUGAAAAAGAAACGAGACGAAGAGGUGCGAGCAGAUUAUGCAGCGAAACUUGCGACUGUUUAAUAAACGAUAUCGAUAAAAACUGUAAACAGAGAAAGGAAUUCGUUACCAUCAGUGAUAUAUUCAACGUGUGCACGUUGAACAGAUAUGAGCCACGAUGGAACUCGUUUCGGUAUUUUAUCGCGUCUUGUGCGUGAAAAAAAAUUCAAUAUCACCUUUGUUCGAGGUAUGAGCAAAUAAUGAUAAAUUGGAAUACGUAAUUGAAUCUGGAGGAUGCAAUUUCUCGUACUUUUAUAUUUUCUAUUGUUAUUGCACACAGUAAGUACAAAUCUAAUAUUAUCAUGUAUUUAAUAAAAAAAAAAAAAAAAAGCAAUUUUGAAGUCAAUCAGAAAUACAAUGCAAAUAAAUUAAAAAAUCUGCACAGUAAUGAAUAAAACGAAAUAUUGUAAUUUAAAAGAGAGUAAUAAAAGUUAAAUUGAUUUUCAAGCGAAAUUAGGAAUGGAGGAAUAUUGAUUGGAAAAGAGAGCAAUUUGCCGAAAAAUGUUGGAGGAAAAACGCGUAGUCGACAAGUGUUUCGCACACUUUGAAAUAAUCGUGUCGUCAUCGAGAACCCGGACUCGUUCCAGCCGACGGAUGUUACUCGGUUAUUUACGAUUGGGAAAAAACCAGAAUGCAUGAUGUUCAACGCGAGUUGCAGCAAGGACGCGCACAACAAUUCGCGAAUUAGUUGCGUGAAAUUGCUGUGACUACCUGUUGGACUUUCGAUUUCUUCUGGAACUUUGCCUCCUUGUCAUUAUUGUUGUCAUCGAUAUGACACAUGUUUCUUUGUGUUAUUUGAUUUAUUAAUAAACGUGACCGA
Molecule: long non-coding RNA, 1471 nt
Organism: Apis dorsata (giant honeybee)
Lineage: Eukaryota; Metazoa; Arthropoda; Insecta; Hymenoptera; Apidae
Exons: 2
Source: RefSeq, a predicted model, not a curated record